Molecule: ribosomal RNA, 497 nt
Filed under: uncultured bacterium
Lineage: Bacteria
Description: partial 16S ribosomal RNA
Rfam family: Bacterial small subunit ribosomal RNA
Source: RNAcentral
GAUGAACGCUGGCGGCGUGCCUAAUACAUGCAAGUCGAGCGAACGGACGAGAAGCUUGCUUCUCUGAUGUUAGCGGCGGACGGGUGAGAAACACGUGGAUAACCUACCUAUAAGACUGGGAUAACUUCGGGAAACCGGAGCUAAUACCGGAUAAUAUUUUGAACCGCAUGGUUCAAAAGUGAAAGACGGUCUUGCUGUCACUUAUAGAUGGAUCCGCGCUGCAUUAGCUAGUUGGUAAGGUAACGGCUUACCAAGGCAACGAUGCAUAGCCGACCUGAGAGGGUGAUCGGCCACACUGGAACUGAGACACGGUCCAGACUCCUACGGGAGGCAGCAGUAGGGAAUCUUCCGCAAAGGGCGAAAGCCUGACGGAGCAACGCCGCGUGAGUGAUGAAGGUCUUCGGAUCGUAAAACUCUGUUAUUAGGGAAGAACAUAUGUGUAAGUAACUGUGCACAUCUUGACGGUACCUAAUCAGAAAGCCACGGCUAACUACGUG